RNAcentral lists this ribosomal RNA (253 nucleotides) under uncultured bacterium. RNAcentral describes it as "partial 16S ribosomal RNA". It matches the Rfam family "Bacterial small subunit ribosomal RNA", at positions 524 to 776 of the family's 1533-position model. The record is from RNAcentral.
UACGGGGGGAGCAAGCGUUGUUCGGAUUACUGGGCGUAAAGGGCGCGUAGGCGGCCACCGCAAGUCGGUUGUGAAAUCUCUGGGCUUAACCCAGAAAGGUCAACCGAUACUGCGGGGCUAGAGUGCAGAAGGGGCAACUGGAAUUCUCGGUGUAGCGGUGAAAUGCGUAGAUAUCGAGAGGAACACCUGCGGCGAAGGCGGGUUGCUGGGCUGAUACUGACGCUGAGGCGCGAAAGCCAGGGGAGCGAACGGG